AUUAGAUACCCUAUUAUUUUUACUGUAAAAAAAUUAAACUAGAGUACUAUUAGUUAUGAUCUUUAAACUUAAAGAAUUUGGCGGUAUUAUAGUCUAUUUAGAGGAAUCUGUUAUGUAAUCGAUAGUCCACGUUGAACCUUACUUAUGCUAUUUCUUGUAUAUCGCUGUUUAUGAAUAUACUCUUAGGUAAUUUUCUUAAUAUAAAAUUAAUUAAAAUUUCAAGUCAAGGUGCAGUUAUGCGUAAGUUGAAUAAUGGAUUACAAUAAAUUUUAUUUAUAUGGAUUGUUAUUGAAAUAUAGUUUGAAGGUGGAUUUAAUAGUAAUUUUAUGAAGAUUAUUAAAAUGAUUAAAGCUCUAUAAUGUGCACACAUCGCCCG
RNAcentral lists this ribosomal RNA (376 nucleotides) under Creobroter apicalis. RNAcentral describes it as "partial 12S ribosomal RNA". The record is from RNAcentral. Lineage: Eukaryota; Metazoa; Arthropoda; Insecta; Mantodea; Hymenopodidae.